GGCGCCGUGGCUUAGUUGGUUAAAGCACCUGUUUGGUAAACAGGAGAUCACGAGUUCGAAUCUCGUCAGUGCGUCU
This is a non-coding RNA of Argiope bruennichi, 76 nucleotides long. The record is from the annotation of a RefSeq genome assembly. Lineage: Eukaryota; Metazoa; Arthropoda; Arachnida; Araneae; Araneidae.